Molecule: long non-coding RNA, 2647 nt
Organism: Nicotiana attenuata
Lineage: Eukaryota; Viridiplantae; Streptophyta; Magnoliopsida; Solanales; Solanaceae
Exons: 5
Source: RefSeq, a predicted model, not a curated record
CUUAAAGGCAACCUUUUUCCUUAAAAUUGUAAAGUUAACGCUAAACUUGGUAAUCUUAUUUUAAUUGGACUACUGUAUCUCAACUCCUUCAAAUUCGCAACUCGUUAAAAUUCGCUAAACGCCCACGCACUCUCCCAUGUCUCUUCAUCCCUCUAAACCCUCAACGAUCAUCUUCCAAUUCAGUGAAGGAAGAACGCUAAUUAUCUCUGCCGCUUGUAAGCUUCCGUGAAGGUAAGAAUUUCUCCUAUACCUAAAGCAUCUGUGCAAAAAGGUCUUUUGUGAGUGUUUAAUUUAUCGUGAGUGUUCAUCAGUACCUUUCUCGCACCAGGAACUCUUGUCAUUGUUUAAUUUUACGUUAACUCUGAAAGUAAGAGAUAGCAAUUACCCCAAUGAUUUAUGUUCCUAUCAUAUAUAUAGAAAUUGAACUUUCAGUAAUGUGAUUUAAAUUGUUUCUACUUGUAUGUUUUGUUUAGUUUUUGCUAAUUAUAAAAUUUUUGUCCUUAUAUUUCUCUAUUGAACAACUAUUUCUGGAUUUCAGAGGAAAAUAAAUGAAAAAUUAUUUCUACUAUUGUAAACCGAGUAAAAUUAAUUUACACGAGGGCAACAUGAUAAGUGAAGAAGAAUGCAAUUAUUAUACAAUUUAUACUUGUAAUAUAUGACUGGAAAGAAAAAGAAGUAUAUGUGACUUUUGUAGGUUUACUAGCAAACAAAAUUGAUGUGAGAUAGUAAAUUUCACUUACAAGUAUGUGUCAAAUAGAAAACAGAUCCAACUUCUACUAUUUGGUUCUAAGAAAAUCUAAGUGUUUUUUUUCUCUUAAUUAAAUGGUUAUUCUGAAUCCUUCUCAAUUAGCUAUUUGUGGUGUUGUCGAUCUGUUUAAAUUGGUGAACUAAGAAUAUAAGAAGAUUUGGAUCUCAUUUACUUUGAGUAAACUAAUUAUUAUAUUAGCACUAAAAAUAGUGUUUUGUCAUUGUUUGUUAGAUAGGAAGCAUGAGUUCUUUUAGAGCUGAUCCUAUGUGGAUGUAUAAUAGACUAGUGCCAAGUCGGAAAGGAGUAACUUCUGCCUUCAUAGAAGGUGUGCACGAAUUUGUAAGGUUUGCAUUAAUGCAACAUGACUUCGUUUCUAAUGGAAGUAUAAGCUGUUCAUGUUCAAGAUGUAAAAACAUUAGCUGAAUUCUCUGCAUUUUAUAUUCCAAAACCUUACAUUUUCCUAGUACUAGGCUACUAGCUGAAUUCGCAAUUCGCGCUCAUAACAUAUCUUGUGAACAAAAUAGACACCAAAUUGUGAUAAUCAUACCAAAAUCUCCAUAAAAAAUAUAAUAGGUAAACUAUAAAUCCUUCUCCCACUAAAAGACAGAAAAAGAUCAUUUCUUAUCGAAGAAGAUCUAUUAAAAAGGGGAAAAAGUAGGUGAAUUAUUUUGCUAAAGGGUCAAAUAGAGAGGUCUCUGUUAUGCUUGUUCUAGCAAAAUAUUUGGAUGGUCAAAUUUUUAUACUUCAUAUGUUUUGUUAUGCUUGUUCUAGCAAAAUAUUUGGAUGGUCAAAUUUUUAUAUUUUAUAUGUUCUGUUUGGCUAGUGUAUUAUUACUAUUAUUUUUGUUGUUGUACUCUUCUUGCCAGUAUUUGAUCAGGAAGUAUGACAAGGGGAAGAGGCACUAAACGUAGUUGGGGAGGUCGUGGGGGCAUGUCUAACAAAGGGGGAGAAGGCUACCAACAACUACCGAACACUUCUCAUGCCAAUAUUAGUGAACCAUCAACCCCUACAUCUCAACAGGUUGGUUCAAACCAACAUAUUAUCUCAUCUCAUGAAAGUAGUUUUCGGCAGCUUAUACAUACAUCUCAAGAUGUUCAUGCUCAACAAACAACUUCUGCUUCUCAAAUGUUGGUGGUCAACAAGCAACUCUUGCUUCCCUGAAUAUUGGUCAUCAACAAGCACCUCGUUCUUCUCAGGAUGUUGGUUCUCAACAAGAAACUCAUUCUCAAGAUGUUCUGCUGAACAAACACUUGCAUCUUAUGGAAGUAAUAAUCCGCAGGCAAGAUGAGAUACUACUCGUGGAAUAAUAUCUUUGAAAGUAAACAGAGACACAUUUUGCCCGCAUGAAGUUGUUCGGAAUGUAACAAUAGCCUUUAAGAAAAGCUUCUCAGGAUCAUGGCAUUGUUGGAGCAAAGUUCCGGAGCAUGUACGAGAUAGAUGGUUCAAUGACUUCGAGAAAAAUUAUUCUUUUCCUAGUGCGGAUAAAGUUUUAUUCGACGGACUUUUGAGCAUGUGGGGAGUGAAAGGUUAAGUGACAUUUUGGGAAAAGCAAAAAGACAAUUUUCAAAAAUAAAAGAAUCACCGGGAUGGAUUGCUAAAGAUCACUGGGACGUUUUGAUGGAAUAUUGGAACUCUGAGAAUUUUAAAAAGAAAUCAAAAAUCAACUCGAAGAAUAGAAUGUCAUCUAAUAAUUUAGAAGGUCCUUCCUUACAUACCGGAUGAUCAGUUGCAUUUGCUGAGUACAGAAGAAGACACAAGGAGCUAACAGGGAAAGAUCUCCGUAAUGAUGAAUUAUUUCUGAAGACUCACAGAACCAAAAAUGAAAAGAAGUGGAUAUGUGGAAAGUCAGAAAGGAUGUGGAUCCAGGUACUUUAUUUCAGGCACACUAUCCUUGAGGCA